Molecule: ribosomal RNA, 504 nt
Filed under: uncultured bacterium
Lineage: Bacteria
Description: partial 16S ribosomal RNA
Rfam family: Bacterial small subunit ribosomal RNA
Source: RNAcentral
AUUGAACGCUGGCGGCAGGCCUAACACAUGCAAGUCGGACGGUAGCACAGAGAGCUUGCUCUCGGGUGACGAGUGGCGGACGGGUGAGUAAUGUCUGGGGAUCUGCCCGAUAGAGGGGGAUAACCACUGGAAACGGUGGCUAAUACCGCAUAACGUCGCAAGACCAAAGAGGGGGACCUUCGGGCCUCUCACUAUCGGAUGAACCCAGAUGGGAUUGGCUAGAAGGCGGGGUAACGGCCCACCUAGGCGACGAUCCCUAGCUGGUCUGAGAGGAUGACCAACCACAGUGGAACUGAGACACGGUCCAGACUCCUACGGGAGGCAGCAGUGGGGAAUAUUGCACGAUGGGCGCAAGCCUGAUGCAGCCAUGCCGCGUGUAUGAAGAAGGCCUUCGGGUUGUAAAGUACUUUCAGCGGGGAGGAAGGCGAUGUGGUUAAUAACCGCGUCGAUUGACGUUACCCGCAGAAGAAGCACCGGCUAACUCCGUGCCAGCCGCCGCAGUAA